UACGUAGGGCGCAAGCGUUGUCCGGAAUUAUUGGGCGUAAAGAGCUCGUAGGCGGCCUGUUGCGUCCGCUGUGAAAUCCCGGGGCUCAACCCCGGGCCUGCAGUGGAUACGGGCUGGCUAGAGGCAGGCAGGGGAGAACGGAAUUCCUGGUGUAGCGGUGAAAUGCGCAGAUAUCAGGAAGAACACCCGUGGCGAAGGCGGUUCUCUGGGACGGUACUGACGCUGAGACGCGAAAGCGUGGGGAGCGAACAGG
RNAcentral lists this ribosomal RNA (253 nucleotides) under uncultured bacterium. RNAcentral describes it as "partial 16S ribosomal RNA". It matches the Rfam family "Bacterial small subunit ribosomal RNA", at positions 524 to 776 of the family's 1533-position model. The record is from RNAcentral.